RNAcentral lists this ribosomal RNA (497 nucleotides) under uncultured bacterium. RNAcentral's name for it is "partial 16S ribosomal RNA". It matches the Rfam family "Bacterial small subunit ribosomal RNA", at positions 28 to 507 of the family's 1533-position model. The record is from RNAcentral.
GACGAACGCUGGCGGCGUGCCUAAUACAUGCAAGUUGAGCGCUGAAGGUUGGUACUUGUACCAACUGGAUGAGCAGCGAACGGGUGAGUAACGCGUGGGGAAUCUGCCUUUGAGCGGGGGACAACAUUUGGAAACGAAUGCUAAUACCGCAUAAAAACUUUAAACACAUGUUUUAAGUUUGAAAGAUGCAAUUGCAUCACUCAAAGAUGAUCCCGCGUUGUAUUAUCUAGUUGGUGAGGUAAAGGCUCACCAAGGCGAUGAUACAUAGCCGACCUGAGAGGGUGAUCGGCCACAUUGGGACUGAGGCACGGCCCAAACUCCUACGGGAGGCAGCAGUAGGGAAUCUUCGGCAAUGGACGAAAGUCUGACCGAGCAACGCCGCGUGAGUGAAGAAGGUUUUCGGAUCGUAAAACUCUGUUGGUAGAGAAGAACGUUGGUGAGAGUGGAAAGCUCAUCAAGUGACGGUAACUACCCAGAAAGGGACGGCUAACUACGUG